RNAcentral lists this transfer RNA (72 nucleotides) under Myotis davidii. It matches the Rfam family "tRNA". From Rfam's summary of the family: Transfer RNA (tRNA) molecules are approximately 80 nucleotides in length. Their secondary structure includes four short double-helical elements and three loops (D, anti-codon, and T loops). The record is from Rfam by way of RNAcentral. Lineage: Eukaryota; Metazoa; Chordata; Mammalia; Chiroptera; Vespertilionidae.
GCCAGUGUGGCUCAAUGGAUAGAGCGUCGGCCCGUGGACUGAAAGUUCCCAGUUUGAUUCUGGUCAAGGGCA